Long non-coding RNA from Xenia sp. Carnegie-2017, 356 nucleotides. RefSeq lists it as uncharacterized. Lineage: Eukaryota; Metazoa; Cnidaria; Anthozoa; Malacalcyonacea; Xeniidae. The transcript is spliced from 2 exons. The record is from RefSeq and is a predicted model, not a curated record.
GGAUGUUAUCGAUUUUGACAAACUUUGAAUAAUUUAUGGCUCGGAAAAGAAAAUUCAAAAAUGUCCCAGUAUACGACAUAGCAAGCUUUCCUAGCGUUGAUAGAUCUUUAAGCCAGCUAUUAGUCCAUCCACUAACUGGGUGUGACACAGUGUCUUAUUUUGGAGGGUGCUACAAAAGAAAACUGCAUUGGAUGCCAGGAAAUUAAUUCAUUCUCAACGGACUAUAGAACCAAACAAUUACAUCGUCAGAAGAAAACAUCACAAAGCAAUCUAUGGACGUUAUUGAGAGAGCAUGAUACACUACUCAAGUUGAAAAAGCUAGAUGUCAACAAAGUACAAUAUUUCUGGCAAUAAAC